Molecule: ribosomal RNA, 301 nt
Filed under: uncultured bacterium
Lineage: Bacteria
Description: partial 16S ribosomal RNA
Rfam family: Bacterial small subunit ribosomal RNA
Source: RNAcentral
CAGCAGCCGCGGUAAUACGUGGGGUGCAAGCGUUAAUCGGAAUUACUGGGCGUAAAGCGUGCGCAGGAGGUUAUAUAAGUCAGAUGUGAAAUCCCCGGGCUCAACCUGGGAACUGCAUUUGAGACUGUAUGGCUAGAGUGUGUCAGAGGGGGGUAGAAUUCCACGUGUAGCAGUGAAAUGCGUAGAUAUGUGGAGGAAUACCGAUGGCGAAGGCAGCCCCCUGGGAUAACACUGACGCUCAUGCACGAAAGCGUGGGGAGCAAACAGGAUUAGAUACCCCAGUAGUCCCUGUCUCUUAUAC